Pangasianodon hypophthalmus (striped catfish) is the source of this 2147-nucleotide long non-coding RNA. RefSeq lists it as uncharacterized. NCBI's taxonomy places the organism in Eukaryota, Metazoa, Chordata, Actinopteri, Siluriformes, Pangasiidae. The transcript is spliced from 3 exons. The record is from RefSeq and is a predicted model, not a curated record.
AUGUGUUUGUUUUGUCUUUUGAUGUCCAAGGUUUUGCGAGUCUCAUCUUUUCUGCCAAGCUUCACGGAGAGAUAUUACACGCCAAGGCAAGUGUGUGUGUUUGUGCCAAGGCUUUUUUGGAGGCAGAAUGGCACGGACGCAGAAAAGGCAGUAGAGUCUACAACAGGAAUACCGCUCCACGAGCACGGGUUAACAUUACACAGCACUGGUUUUAAAAAUGCGAGAGUCACUGCUAUACGACGAAUGCAAAGCAUGGGAAAACGUGAACUGGGUGGAAUUUUCUCCAUCUGCAGGGGAGGAAAGCUUUGCCUGCCGGAGCGUAGGAGUAUCAGAGAGCAGCGACCUCAUUCUGCCCCGUCUUCAUAGGAUUCCCCACAAAACCACAAGAGGGUGAUCUUUCAAUACACAAAUCCACUGACUUUUCAUCAACUCGGAAAAUGGUCAUUUCAGGAGCUUCCUGUCCCGAAAUGCAUCAAAGCUUUAACAAUUACAGGCUUUCAGGUGCAUGAUCAGUGCCAGGCCUAUUGUGAAUUGAAGCAGCGGGAUGUUCGAUGCCCCUCUCCCACAGCGUGACUAACUAACAGAGACAGUGCCAGAGGAGGCGACUCCGAUGAGGGUUCGAUGCUGCUGAUGCCUCCACUCAUCACUGCCUUUGUUGUUGCCUCACUAUCUUCUCACAACAUACGCUUCUGAUAAGUGCACCCUGGCAAAAUCAGCACCAUCCAAAACAUUUUUACAAGCAAAAAUAUCCUCCUUUAGCCUGACCGGGUGAGAAUUCUUGUGUUUAUUUUAGUGAGAAUCUGUAAUUUUUCUUUUGUCUAAUUCCACCAAUCAUGUCCUCUUGCCUAUAUUUAGACAUGUUAUAUAUAUAUAUAUUUUGUCCUAAUUUACAGUACUGUACAUAUUAUAUAUUUUUUGAGCCCUUCAGGUGUAUUUUUAGCUUGGAAAUAAGAAAAGAAUUUAAUUUGUCUAAUAUUUCACUUUGAGACACUGAAAUUAUGAAAUGUUGCUUUUUUUCCCAGAAAACUGUGCAUCCAAGCAAAAGGAUUUCUAAAAUUAGAAUAGUUAGAAUUUAUUAGAAAGUUACAAAGUCAUUAUCCAAAUACACAAAAGAAGUAUGUGACUACUGGGUUUUAUUUUCUUGUGCCACUGACUUUUGUCAUUUAGAUGUUUAGACUGCAUUCUAUUUAUACAAUUUUUUGUUACAUAAUUUAAAAGCAUAGAACACAUUGAAAAUGUCUGUUAAAUGUGUGUCAGGGUAAGUCAGAGCUCAGGAGCUACAGUUUAAAACAACGUCACCCUCUAAUGGCUAAAGUUUGCAAUUACAUCUACCUAAGAAGCGUCUUACAACCAUGUUAUAAGCAAGGUCACAGGAGAAGUGCCCAAACUACAAAGUUCUAUAUUAUAUAUAAGAUAAUAUAAUAAUAUAAUAUAAUAUAACAUUAUAUAAUAAUAUAAAUAACAUAUACAUCCUAUAAAAAAAUUGUAAAUAAUGAAAAAUAUGUCUCUAGCUCAGUUUGUGUGUGAUGCUUUGGAGAAUAAACUCCUGUUUACACAUUCAAGAUUUCACAUGUAUUACACAGCCUAUGUGGAAAAAAAAUGUAAACAUACACACGCUACCAGUAUAAAGUCCAGUGCAAGGCUUUCCUUGUCUGAUCGUCCUUACUAAACAUUCCUCCCUCAGUGAAGGGCCACAAAGGGGUCACCUGGCUUUCAGUAUAAACCUCAGAGAUUCACCGUGCACUGAAAUUGCUUUUGAGAGAAGACAUACUCGGCUAAGGAGACAUACUAUAUGCUUACUAUCGGCUGCAUGAAAUCCUAAUAUGAAAUGGCUAAACUAAUCUUAUUCUUUUUUUAAUAUAUGUUUAAACAAUGAUGCACCACAUAUAAGAUAAACAAAAAAAAUAAAUGAUUUUUGAGCAUUAAAGUAUUAAAGUGAAUACAAUUUCUAAUUCUCAGCUAACUUUUUUUUCACUCACUUGUUCAGGUGAUUGUCUACACUUCACACAUCAUACACCACCUUGUGUUAUUACCACUCUAGGUAUCUUAGGGUUGAAUUCGAUCUGAUUAGAGUUUGAUUUCACUUUUUGAUCACAACCAUGUGUUAAACUGAAGCCCCUGAGGACCGGCAGUGAAUGUUCUUAUGU